AGUACCGUGAGGGAAAGGUGAAAAGAACCCCGGGAGGGGAGUGAAAGAGAACCUGAAACCCUGCACUUACAAGCUGUGGGAGCACAUUACUUGUGUGACCGCGUACUUUUUGUAGAACGGGCCAACGAGUUACGUUAAGUAGCAAGGUUAAGCACUUAAGGUGUGGAGCCGUAGCGAAAGCGAGUCUUAAAUGGGCGUCCAGUUACCCGACGUAGACCCGAAACCAGGCGACCUAUCCAUGAGCAGGUUGAAGCGAAAGUAAAAUUUCGUGGAGGACCGAACCCACGAGCGUUGAAAAGCUCGGGGAUGACUUGUGGAUAGCGGUGAAAUUCCAAUCGAGCCCGGAGAUAGCUGGUUCUCCCCGAAAUAGCUUUAGGGCUAGCCUCAAGCGUAGAGAAACGGAGGUAGAGCACUGAAUGUCCUAGGGGGUAUUGCACUUACCGAAGACUAUCAAACUCCGAAUGCCGUUUUCUUUUACUUGGGAGUCAGACUGUGGGUGAUAAGAUUCAUAGUCAAAAGGGCAACAGCCCAGAUCGUCAGCUAAGGUCCCUAAAUGUACGUUAAGUGGUAAAGGAUGUGGGAUUGCACAGACAACCAGGAUGUUGGCUUAGAAGCAGCCACUCAUUUAAAGAGUGCGUAAUAGCUCACUGGUCGAGUGAUCCUGCGCCGAAAAUUUCCGGGGCUAAAACGUACUACCGAAGCUACGGCAUCAUUUAUGAUGGGUAGGAGAGCUUCCCAUACGGGUUGAAGCAUGACCGAAAGGACAUGUGGACUGUAUGGGAGUGAGAAUGUUGGCAUGAGUAGCGAGAUGUGGGUGAGAAUCCCACAGGCCGUAAACCCAAGGUUUCCAGGGGAAGGUUCGUCCGCCCUGGGUUAGUCAGGACCUAAGCCGAGGCCGAAAGGCGUAGGUGAUGGACAACAGGUUGAUAUUCCUGUACCACCAAUAACCGUUUGAGAAAUGGGAUGACACAGUAGGAUAAGCUAACCGCACUGUUGGUUAUGUGCGGGCAAGUAUUGAGGCAGUUCCGAUAGGCAAAUCCGUCGGAAUAAUGCUGGGGUACGAUGCGGAGCGAAAUUUAGUAGCGAAGUAGCUGAUUUCACACUGUCGAGAAAAGUCUCUAUCGAGGUUAAAGGUGCCUGUACCGCAAACCGACACAGGUGGGUGAGGAGAGUAUCCUAAGGCCAGCGAGAGAACUGUUGUUAAGGAACUCGGCAAAAUGACCCCGUAACUUAGGGAGAAGGGGUGCCUUCGAAAGAAGGCCGCAGAGAAUAGGCCCAAGCGACUGUUUACCAAAAACAUAGGUUUCUGCUAAGUCGCAAGACGAUGUAUAGGAGCUGACGCCUGCCCGGUGCUGGAAGGUUAAGGGGAUCUGUUAGAGCAAUCGAAGCAGUGAACUUAAGCCCCAGUAAACGGCGGCCGUAACUAUAACGGUCCUAAGGUAGCGAAAUUCCUUGUCGGGUAAGUUCCGACCCGCACGAAAGGCGUAACGAUUUGGGCACUGUCUCAACAACAGACUCGGUGAAAUUGUAAUACCGGUGAAGAUGCCGGUUACCUGCGACAGGACGGAAAGACCCCAUGGAGCUUUACUGUAGCUUGACAUUGAGUCUCGGUGCUACAUGUACAGGAUAGGUGGGAG
RNAcentral lists this ribosomal RNA (1637 nucleotides) under human gut metagenome. RNAcentral's name for it is "bacterial LSU rRNA". It matches the Rfam family "Bacterial large subunit ribosomal RNA", at positions 497 to 2153 of the family's 2925-position model. The record is from RNAcentral.